GCACGCAUGGCCACCUCCACCCUGAGGCAGGUGAGUCUGGCCAGAGGUCACCAGUAUGAAGUCAGAUCCACCUCUCCUCCUAGUUUUACAGAAGCACUUUUCCAGUACAUCUGAGGGAACGCAUGCCUUCUCCGGCCGGCCUAAUGCUGUUUCCCAGGAGCAGCCUUCUGGAAGGUGGACCAUCAGGUAGAAGAAGUAUUCUUCAGAGAGUUGCAUUCCCAUGGGAAUGGUGACAGCUUGAGCUUGACGGGGAGUCCUGUUGUAUUCCGAGGUGUGAAGGGAAGGCAUGAACCGUGCAUAUGCUGUACCAUACAGUUUUGCCUACUGCUGUUUGUAGCUUCAUUGUAGCUGUGAAUGCUCCGUUCCUCUCCUUUUCACCCUUGAAGAUUCGCGAACAUACAGGAUCGGGCUGUGUGAGGCAGAGCAUCCCCCGCGUGGUAGGC
RNAcentral lists this long non-coding RNA (443 nucleotides) under Lynx pardinus (Iberian lynx). The record is from RNAcentral. Lineage: Eukaryota; Metazoa; Chordata; Mammalia; Carnivora; Felidae.